CUAACACAUGCAAGUCGAGCGGUAACAGAUCCAGCUUGCUGGAUGCUGACGAGCGGCGGACGGGUGAGUAAUGCAUAGGAAUCUGCCCGAUAGUGGGGGAUAACCUGGGGAAACCCAGGCUAAUACCGCAUACGUCCUACGGGAGAAAGGGGGCUUCGGCUCCCGCUAUCGGAUGAGCCUAUGUCGGAUUAGCUAGUUGGUGAGGUAAAGGCUCACCAAGGCAACGAUCCGUAGCUGGUCUGAGAGGAUGAUCAGCCACAUCGGGACUGAGACACGGCCCGAACUCCUACGGGAGGCAGCAGUGGGGAAUAUUGGACAAUGGGGGCAACCCUGAUCCAGCCAUGCCGCGUGUGUGAAGAAGGCCCUCGGGUUGUAAAGCACUUUCAGCGAGGAAGAACGCCUAGCGGUUAAUACCCGCUAGGAAAGACAUCACUCGCAGAAGAAGCACCGGCUAACUCCGUGCCAGCAGCCGCGGUAAUACGGAGGGUGCAAGCGUUAAUCGGAAUUACUGGGCGUAAAGCGCGCGUAGGUGGCUUGAUAAGCCGGUUGUGAAAGCCCCGGGCUCAACCUGGGAACGGCAUCCGGAACUGUCAAGCUAGAGUGCAGGAGAGGAAGGUAGAAUUCCCGGUGUAGCGGUGAAAUGCGUAGAGAUCGGGAGGAAUACCAGUGGCGAAGCGGCCU
RNAcentral lists this ribosomal RNA (681 nucleotides) under uncultured bacterium. RNAcentral describes it as "bacterial SSU rRNA". It matches the Rfam family "Bacterial small subunit ribosomal RNA", at positions 48 to 727 of the family's 1533-position model. The record is from RNAcentral.